This 209-nucleotide non-coding RNA is filed under the name Lentilactobacillus buchneri. Its description in RNAcentral is "Lactobacillus buchneri T-box sequence". It matches the Rfam family "T-box leader". From Rfam's summary of the family: Uncharged tRNA acts as the effector for transcription antitermination of genes in the T-box leader family. T-boxes are found upstream of many aminoacyl-tRNA synthetase genes and some amino acid biosynthetic genes usually in Gram-positive bacteria. The anticodon of a specific tRNA base pairs to a specifier sequence within the T-box motif, and the NCCA acceptor tail of the tRNA base pairs to a conserved bulge in the T-box antiterminator hairpin. The record is from RNAcentral. Lineage: Bacteria; Bacillati; Bacillota; Bacilli; Lactobacillales; Lactobacillaceae.
AUUAAAGUGUUGAGCAAGAGAGUAGCCAACGUUUCGGUUUCAGAAAGAAAAUCAUUGCUGUGAGAUUUUUACCGGGCGUUGAGUGAAGGUAGCUUGUGAGCUGCUUAUCUUCAAUUGAAGAUGAGUCGGUAUUAUCAGACCGUUAUUAUGAUAUUAAGUGGGGCUUUUCAGCCCAAUUUAGGUGGUACCGCGAACACUUCGUCCUAAUU